RNAcentral lists this ribosomal RNA (387 nucleotides) under uncultured Sphingobacteriales bacterium. Its description in RNAcentral is "bacterial SSU rRNA". It matches the Rfam family "Bacterial small subunit ribosomal RNA", at positions 990 to 1382 of the family's 1533-position model. Lineage: Bacteria; Pseudomonadati; Bacteroidota; Sphingobacteriia; Sphingobacteriales. The record is from RNAcentral.
GAUGACUGUAGGUGAAAGCUUACAUCUCUUCGGAGCAUUUUACGAGGUGCUGCAUGGUGUCGUCAGCUCGUGCCGUGAGGUGUCGGUUAAGUCCCAUAACGAGCGCAACCCUACCUUUAGUUGCCAUCAGGUAAUGCUGGGGACUCUAAAGGAACUGCCUACGCAAGUAGUGAGGAAGCGGGGAUGACGUCAAAUCAGCACGGCCCUUACGUCCAGGGCUACACACGUGCUACAAUGGCCGAUACAGAGGGCAGCUACCUGGUGACAGGAUGCAAAUCUCCAAAGUCGGUCUCAGUUCGGAUCGGAGUCUGCAACCCGACUCCGUGAAGUUGGAUUCGCUAGUAAUCGCGCAUCAGCCAUGGCGCGGUGAAUACGUUCCCGGGCCUU